ACCUAGUGGCGCACGGGUGAGUAACAUGUGGGAAUCUACCUGAAGGUUCGGAAUAACUGCGGGAAACUGUAGCUAAUACCGGAUGUGUCUGCAAAGAGAAAGAUUUAUCGCCUUCAGAUGAGCCCGCACUAGAUUAGCUAGUUGGUGAGGUAAUUGCUCCACCAAGGCUACGAUCUAUAGCUGAUUUGAGAGGAUGAUCAGCCACACUGGGACUGAGACACGGCCCAGACUCCUACGGGAGGCAGCAGUAGGGAAUAUUGGACAAUGGGGGAAACCCUGAUCCAGCAAUGCCGCGUGAGUGAAGAAGGCCUUCGGGUUGUAAAGCUCUUUCAUCAAUGAUGAUAAUGACAUUAGUUGAAGAAGAAGCCCCGGCUAACUUCGUGCCAGCAGCCGCGGUAAUACGAAGGGGGCUAGCGUUGUUCGGAAUCACUGGGCGUAAAGCGUAUGUAGGCGGAUCAAAAAGUUAGAUGUGAAAUCCCUGGGCUCAACCCAGGAACUGCAUUUAAAACUAGUGAUCUAGAAUUUGGUAGGGGCCAGUAGAAUUUCCAGUGUAGAGGUGAAAUUCGUAGAUAUUGGAAAGAAUACCAGUGGCGAAGGCGACUGGCUGGGCCAUUUUUGACGCUGAGAUACGAAAGCGUGGGUAGCAAACAGGAUUAGAUACCCUGGUAGUCCACGCAGUAAACGAUGAGUGCUAGUCGCUGGGACAAUAGUUUCAGUGUCGAAGCUAACGCAUUAAGCACUCCGCCUGGGAAGUACGGUCGCAAGAUUAAAACUCAAAUAAAUUGACGGGGACCCGCACAAGCGGUGGAGCAUGUGGUUUAAUUCGAAGCAACGCGAAGAACCUUACCAGACCUUGACAUGGUAUGUUUGAAUUACAGAAUCGUAAUUCUUCAGUUCGGCUGGCAUACACACAGGUGCUGCAUGGCUGUCGUCAGCUCGUGUCGUGAGAUGUUGGGUUAAGUCCCGCAACGAGCGCAACCCUCAUUUUUAGUUGCCAUCAGGUUAAGCUGGGCACUCUAAAAAAACUGCCGGUGAUAAGCUGGAGGAAGGCGGGGAUGACGUCAAGUCCUCAUGGCCCUUACGGUCUGGGCUACACACGUGCUACAAUGGUGGUGACAGUGGGCAGCAAUACUGCAAAGUAAAGCUAAUCCCAAAAAACCAUCUCAGUUCGGAUUGGACUCUGCAACUCGAGUCCAUGAAGUUGGAAUCGCUAGUAAUCGUAGAUCAGCGUGCUACGGUGAAUACGUUCUCGGGCCUUGUACACACCGCCCGUCACGCCAUGGGAGUUGGUUUUACCUUAAGCCGGUGCGCUAACCGCAAGGAAGCAGCCGUCCACGGUAGGGUCAGCGACUGGGGCGAAGUCGUAACAAGGUAACCGUAGGGGAACCUGCGGUUG
Molecule: ribosomal RNA, 1396 nt
Filed under: marine metagenome
Description: bacterial SSU rRNA
Rfam family: Bacterial small subunit ribosomal RNA
Source: RNAcentral